AGAUUGAACGCUGGCGGAAUGCUUUACACAUGCAAGUCGAGCGGCAGCGCGGGCAACCUGGCGGCGAGCGGCGAACGGGUGAGUAAUGCAUCGGAACAUGUCCAUGUCGUGGGGGAUAGCCCGGCGAAAGCCGGAUUAAUACCGCAUACGCCCGAGAGGGAAAGCCGGGACCGCAAGGCCUGGCGCGAGUUGGGUUGGCCGAUGUCCGAUUAGCUUAGUUGGCGGGUAAUCGGCCCACCAAGGCGAUGAUCGGCAGCGUGGUCUGAGAGGAUGAUCAGCCACACGUGGACUGACGACACGGCCCAGACCUCCGUACGGGAGCGAGCGAGGUGGGUAAUUUGGACAAGUGGGGACCACCCGUGAC
RNAcentral lists this ribosomal RNA (364 nucleotides) under uncultured soil bacterium. Its description in RNAcentral is "bacterial SSU rRNA". It matches the Rfam family "Bacterial small subunit ribosomal RNA", at positions 26 to 389 of the family's 1533-position model. The record is from RNAcentral.